AGUGAACGCUGGCGGUAGGCCUAACACAUGCAAGUCGAACGGCAGCACAGUAAGAGCUUGCUCUUACGGGUGGCGAGUGGCGGACGGGUGAGGAAUACAUCGGAAUCUACUUUUUCGUGGGGGAUAACGUAGGGAAACUUACGCUAAUACCGCAUACGACCUACGGGUGAAAGCAGGGGAUCUUCGGACCUUGCGCGAUUGAAUGAGCCGAUGUCGGAUUAGCUAGUUGGCGGGGUAAAGGCCCACCAAGGCGACGAUCCGUAGCUGGUCUGAGAGGAUGAUCAGCCACACUGGAACUGAGACACGGUCCAGACUCCUACGGGAGGCAGCAGUGGGGAAUAUUGGACAAUGGGCGCAAGCCUGAUCCAGCCAUACCGCGUGGGUGAAGAAGGCCGUCGGGUUGUAAAGCCCUUUUGUUGGGAAAGAAAAGCAGCAGGUUAAUACCCCGCUGUUCUGACGGUACCCAAAGAAUAAGCACCGGCUAACUUCGUGC
This 493-nucleotide ribosomal RNA is filed under the name uncultured bacterium. RNAcentral's name for it is "partial 16S ribosomal RNA". It matches the Rfam family "Bacterial small subunit ribosomal RNA", at positions 29 to 508 of the family's 1533-position model. The record is from RNAcentral.